Molecule: ribosomal RNA, 252 nt
Filed under: uncultured bacterium
Lineage: Bacteria
Description: partial 16S ribosomal RNA
Rfam family: Bacterial small subunit ribosomal RNA
Source: RNAcentral
ACAUAGGGUGCAAGCGUUGUCCGGAAUUAUUGGGCGUAAAGAGCUCGUAGGUGGUUUGUUACGUCGGUUGUGAAAUUCAGGGGCUCAACCCCUGACUUGCAGCCGAUACGGGCAAGCUAGAGUUUGGUAGGGGAGACUGGAAUUCCUGGUGUAGCGGUGGAAUGCGCAGAUAUCAGGAGGAACACCGAUGGCGAAGGCAGGUCUCUGGGCCAAUACUGACACUGAGGAGCGAAAGCGUGGGGAGCGAACAGG